Molecule: unclassified non-coding RNA, 430 nt
Filed under: soil metagenome
Description: partial contains 5.8S ribosomal RNA, internal transcribed spacer 2, and large subunit ribosomal RNA
Rfam family: 5.8S ribosomal RNA (bases 1-120)
Source: RNAcentral
GAUGAAGAACGUAGCGAAAUGCGAUACGUAAUGUGAAUUGCAGAAUUCAGUGAAUCAUCGAAUCUUUGAACGCAUAUUGCGCUCUCUGGUAUUCCGGAGAGCAUGCUUGUUUGAGUAUCAGUAAACACCUCAACUCCCUUUUCUUUUUUGAAAUUGGAGCUGGACUUGAGUGAUCCCAACGCUUUCUUCCAAGAAAGUGGCGGGUUGCUUGAAAUGCAGGUGCAGCUGAACUUUUCUCUGAGCUAUAAGCAUAUCUAUUUAGUCUGCCUAAAAAACAGAUUAUUACCUUUGCUGCAGCUAACAUAAAGGAGACUAGUUCUUGUGCUGACUGAUGCAGGAUUCACAGAGACAGCUUCGGCUGACUUUGUAAACUCGAUCUCAAAUCAAGUAAGACUACCCGCUGAACUUAAGCAUAUCAAUAAGCGGAAGA